ACAGAGGGGGCAAGCGUUGUUCGGAAUUAUUGGGCGUAAAGGGCGCGUAGGCGGUGCGGUAAGUCACCUGUGAAAUCUCUGGGCUCAACUCAGAGUCUGCAGGCGAAACUGCCGUGCUAGAGUGUGGUAGAGGGUGGCGGAAUUCCCGGUGUAGCAGUGAAAUGCGUAGAGAUCGGGAGGAACAUCUGUGGCGAAGGCGGCCACCUGGGCCAGCACUGACACUGAGGCACGAAAGCGUGGGGAGCAAACAGGA
This 253-nucleotide ribosomal RNA is filed under the name uncultured prokaryote. RNAcentral's name for it is "partial 16S ribosomal RNA". It matches the Rfam family "Bacterial small subunit ribosomal RNA", at positions 525 to 777 of the family's 1533-position model. The record is from RNAcentral.